Non-coding RNA from Camelina sativa (false flax), 1303 nucleotides. The record is from RefSeq and is a predicted model, not a curated record. Lineage: Eukaryota; Viridiplantae; Streptophyta; Magnoliopsida; Brassicales; Brassicaceae.
GAUAUAAAAUGUUUAUUAUAUUCUUUUAUAACAAAAUAAGAUCCGAGUCUGUGUCUCUCCACCUUCAAACCUAAAAUCAAUCUCUUCCUAUGUGCAUCUCAGAAACAACAGUUGCCUCCGUCUCUUCCCAUAGUUUUAGCAUCACUGAGAAGCAACAUAGAAGCAGCCACAACAACGAACCUCUAUCCCAACAUACGAGAAACCAAUUCGGUGAUGAUGGAGAGGACCCAGAGCAACCAAAGCUUUGAGCUGUUUUAAACUCUGCUAUUGUUAGGGAAAAGCCUAAUGUUAAGCGUGGACAGAUGUUGCUGGGCAUGAAAGUGCUAAACAAGCGUUGAAGGAAGCUGUGAUUUUGCCUGUCAAGUUCCCACAGUUCUUCAUUGGUGAAUGUUUAUACUUUCAAUUCGGAUUUGUCCAUGUAAUUUGAUUUACUUCAAUUUAUCAAUCUUACUUGUUAUGAUUAGGAAGAAAAUCAUAUAUGAACCCUCAUUCCAAUGUUAGCGUUAUACGGGUAAGCAAAUCUUUGGGUCUAAUUUCACUAUUCUCUAAGCUAUAAUCCAAAUUCAUGGUCUCUUGUUUUUUUUGUCUCGAAUUCAUUAGCCAUGUUGUUGUUAAGUAGCUUUUGUGUUUCCUCUGUACUCCAUUUGAAUUUGCAGGAAGAGUAUCAGAUUUGUGAAAGAAAGGAGUUGCAGAUCCCAUAUAUCAGUUAUCAGACGUUAUCUCUUAAAGGCUCCAUUGGUUUGCUGAUUUUGUUGUUUUCCUUGGUUUGAUUUUACAGACCAGAAGAGCUUCGUGUGCCCUUUGAGACUUGGUUCCAUUUUCCAUGAAGACUUGGUACCAUUUUGCAUAACCCAGCAAAAGAUAAUCAACUUAGCUUAUUAAAGAAAAAGCUGCUCAAGAGAAGGCUGCCAAAGAGGAUCCAAAAACAAAUAAAAAGAGACACUUGAACGUGGUGUUUAUUGGGCAUGUCGGGACACAAGAGCUGGUCGAAAGAAAGGUAAUUACAUUAACCUUUUGAAUUCUUUUCUUUGAUGAUUUAAUAUAUUCUUCCAUAGAUCUUUGUACUUGUGUAAAUUCUACGCAGGAUCUUUGUACUUUUGAAUUCUUUUCAUUGAGAGAUACACAGCCUGGGAAUCUGUUAGUGUAAGAUGUAGUAACUAAGGCAUUUGAAGACAACAAGAAGAGUCUCUAGGUUCGUGUUUUUGUUUAUUGUGGCAUGUUAAGACUUAUUUUGAGACUUGUAAUGUAUGUAGUCUAUUGUAGUUGAAAUUUUCAAGAUGAUAUGUACUGUAUUUUGAGGCUU